Molecule: long non-coding RNA, 1279 nt
Organism: Equus quagga
Lineage: Eukaryota; Metazoa; Chordata; Mammalia; Perissodactyla; Equidae
Exons: 4
Source: RefSeq, a predicted model, not a curated record
GCCAGCAGCGGGGAGAGCUGGGGGGGGACCCUCUUCUGCUGCGCCCCAAUCCCUCCUCCCCUCACCCCUACACCCUUGCAUCAGACAGAGGGGCCGCUCCACCACCCCACGCCCCCACUCCAAGGCAGUGGCGAUGUUUUCCGGACCCCAAAUCAAGAGCCUGGUGUGAGAGGCAGGGUGUUUGGAAACAUUGCCAGAAGGAACAGGAAUUAUAAACAGAGCUCUGCACUGGGAAGGAAAGGAAGCCGAGAGGACCCAUCUGAGAGAUCAGGGGCAGUGGUGAGGACCCCGUCAGCAAGCUCUCUCCGCCACGUGCCGAACCCGUGUGUGGAUCAGCGAGUUCUGGGCUGGCAAGGCCUCUGAAGAGUCUCCUGGGCCCGGAGCUCCCCUCGAGACAGCAGGGGUUGCUGACAGAUACUGGGCCAGCAGGACCAGCCUAACAGGCACCUCCAGCUGGCGGGCCCCAUGCCGUGUGUCAGCCUCUGCGGCCCGCACUUCCCAGACGUCAUCCCAAAUGACUGGCUAAGCCCCGUGAAUAGAAACUAUUAUCCUUGUACCCCUUUUACAGGUGAGGGAACCGAGGCACAGAGAGGUUAAGUGAGUUGCCCACAGUCACCCAGAGAACGAGCCGCACGCAGUGCCCGCAUUUAAACCCUCAUGCUGACUCCAAGAGAAGGCGAAAGUGUCCAGCUCACCCGUACCGGAAGAGGAAAGGGGUGACAGGGGACAGCAGCCCAGAGCACCUCGGGAAGUGACUGGGGGCAGGGCCGGGAUCAGGUCAGGCAAGCGAGGAGCACGAGGAGAUGGAGCUUAACCCUCCCUGCCCUUGCGUGUGGGCUGGACUCAGUGGCUCGGGUCUAAAGAAUAGAGUAUGGAAACAGCAAAGCAGCAGCUGCACAGUGGAGAAGGCUGCCAGACACCACCGUAACCAAGUGAUCCGGUGCACAGCCGUCACCAGGACAUCAUGCUGAUGUCGGGAACACCCCCACGGACGUCAUGUAGAUCUCAUGAACGUCCUCAGGGGGGGUCACGUGGACGUCAUGAACAUCCCCAGGGACGUCAUGGGGAUGUCGUGAACUCCCUGAUCAGAAGGGAUGAGAGGGCACUUCAUCUCCCAUCCCAUUCCCCCAAAACCUGUAACCCCAGACUAAUCAUGAGAAAAACACCAGACAAACCCACAUCCAGGGAUGUUUGACAAAUACCUUCGGGGACCUACAAAUACAAGGACUCUUCAACACUGUCAAGGUCAUGAAAAAUAAGGAAAGACUGAGAAAUGGCC